ACUGGCAAAUACCACCUCUGGCAGGACCCAGAUUGGGGUGGGAAUGGAGAUUUUGCAAUAUCCUUCCCCUGGAGUGGGAUGGGAAUGGAGAUUUUGCAGUAUCCUUCCCCUGCCACGCCCACCAAGUCACAUCCACCAAGCCACGCCCAUAUAACCGGUAGUAAAAAAAGAUCGGAUUUCACCACUGGUAAGGAUGCUCAAUAUCAGUCUUUCUCAACCUCAUAAACUAAUAUGUGUACUUUAACUUCCAGAAUUCUCCAACAAGGAUUUGGGAAAUUGAAGUCCACACAUUGUGAAGUUAUUAAGAGAGAGAAGACUGCUCUACACUAUCACAUUUAACUCAACUAUUCUAAUUUACCUUAAAGGUUCCCCCCACCCUCACUUCCUUCAGUGAAGCAGUAGAAUAUAUUUCCAAAUUUAGCCCUGAGUUACUCAGUUCACUACUUUAUUUUCUAAGCGUACCUAUGAGGCUUACAUGGCCCAAAGGCAUUCUAGAAAUAAAGACAUUUCACAUUUAACCCAUGCAGUCUUUCAAAAGCUACAUAAUGGACUCUUGUUCUUGCUUGCGUAUAAAAAUGUAUAGUAAUUAUUUGAUCUUAGCCAAAAGGCCAAGAAUUGAAUUAUAAUUUGAAAUAUUUUUUAAAAUAAAAUGUUGCAUCAGUGGUAUUUAACUUUUCAAAGAUGCAUAAAGAUAUAUCAAAUAAGUGUUGGAUAUGUGAUCAACAUGAAGAUAGCUUUUAACCUAUUUCAUGGACAAGUAAAAAGACCAAGAGAUAUUGCAAUCAGAUAUAUGGCUUAAUUCUUAAAAUAUUAAAAAUGGAUGUAAAAUUGAAAACGGAAACUUUUCUUCUGAGCAUCAUAGAUAAACAGAUUGAAAGAAAACAUGGGACUUUUGUUCUUAUAUAUGACAAAUGGCAAUGAGAUUUUUAUAUGCAAAGGGGUGGAAAGAUAGACAAAUCCCCAGAAAUGAAGAUUUGAUUGUGACAUCAAUGUCACUGGCAGAGGUAGCAUAAUUGGCUACUUUGAAAGAUAUAAGUUUAUCUACCUUUGUUUCUACAUGGAGAUCACUUCUGGACUUCUUGCUUGAAAAAGAUAAAAAUGAAAAUCUGAUUUUAGAAUGUGAUCAUUAGACUUGUCAUGAUUAUAGAAAUAUUGUGGUUUUUAUUAUUUUAUUAUUAUUAAUAUAUAUCGUACAUUCUUAAAUUUAAAAUAAAUUGUUAUUUUGUUAUAUAAUUUUGGAAGGGUUGAAUAGCUUAGUUUGCAUGAUGUUUUGCUUUGAUUUAGAGUAAGAGGUUACUUUAUUAUAUAUUGUACCUAUACUGAAGAAAGUUGGAAGGCAAAAAAAUCAGGGGUUUCCACAAAGAAGAGGGAGUCAAACUAUUCUCCAAAGCAGCUGAGGCCAGGACAAGAAGCAAUGGGUGGAAACUAAUCAAGAAGAGAAGCAACCUAGAACUAAGGAGAAAUUUUCUGACAGAACAAUUAAUCAAUGGAAUGACUUGCCCCUAGAAGUUGUGGAUGUUUUUAAGAAGAGACUGGACAACCAUUUGUCUGAAAUUAUAUAGGGCUUCCUGCCUGAGCAGGGGGUUGGACUAGAAGACAUCCAAGGUCCCUUCCAAUACUAUUAUUCUGUUCCAUUAUUCAGUCUUUAUGGAUUUUUAUAUUUCUUUCUUUUCUUUUUCUUUCUUUUUGGCACUUUUUAACAAAUGGUUGUUGAAUCUUUUCUUGAAAAUCUCCAGGGAUGAAGAACUCCAACUCCGGGAGCUGAUUAAUCUUUCUCCCUGUCAGGAAAUUCUUCCUUAUUUCCACAUUGACUCUUCCUCUGAUGAGCUUCCACCCAAUCCUUCUUGUCUUGAUUGCAUUGCAAAUGUCUUAUGGGCUCUUCUCUAACUAAACUCUAACUAAAGAGUUUGUUUGUCCUCCAGUAACUCUUAGCUACUUGAGUGUUUGUUGUGCCUGCUGAGGUGAGGCUUUGACCACUGAAUAAAAACAUGGCCUGCUGUCACUCUCUUAUCCCUUCUAUUAGAAGGAAAAUAUUUAUCUGUGCAUCAGAGCAUUCCUGGAAAUGGGAAUCUAAGCAAUGAUUAGUGACUGUUUCACAGCUAGUUAAUUUGGACCACUUCAUAUGCCUUACAGAUUGUGAUGGUAUCACUUGAGAAUUUUUCCAAUGAUGUUCCAAGCCUUUCCAUUGAACACCUGGUUGGAUUCUGGAACCAGUAGGCUACAACAGCACUUAUAAUGACUAUAUCCAAAUUAUUGUUUGUUUGUUUUUGUUUGUUUGUUUGUUUUCUGAGUCCAAGAGGUCCCUUGUUUUGUUUUGUUUUUUAUUUGCAUUUAUAUCCUGCCCUUCUCCGAAGACUCAGGGCGGCUUACACUAUGUCAAGCAAUAGUCUUCAUCCAUUUGUAUAUUAUAUACAAAGUCAACUUAUUGCCCCCAACAAUAAGUUGGAGUUGUAUUCAGUUGCUUGGUAGUUGAAGCAACAGACGAGAGAUCUGGAACAUUAGUUCAAAAAAAAGAAAAAUGAAUAGGAUAGGAUAGAAUAGAAUAGAAUAGAAUAGAAUAGAAUAGAAUAGAAUAGAAUAGAAUAGAAUAGAAUAGAAUAGAAUAGAAUAGAAUAGAAUUUUUUAUUGGCCAAGUGUGAUUGGACACACAAGGAAUUUGUCGUGGUACAUAUGCUCUCAGUGUACAUAAAGGAAAAGAUACCUUCAUCAAGGUACAACACUUACAACACUAAAUGAUAGUCAUAGGGUACAAAUUUAAUGAUACAACACUUAAUGAUAGUCAUAGGCUACAAUUAAGCAAUCAGGAAUUUGAGUAUAGAUAAGAGCCUAGAUUCAGGCCUAUUCUAUGGUGAUAAAGUUAGUAAAGUGCCAAUUCUUCUCUGUGCUUAUGUCAACCAGCAAUCAUGUUGGAAAUGAUUCGCGCUCACUUUAGGAAAAGAAGAAUGAUGGGGAAAAACCGCCAUGCCGACACUAUUCACAUGUUUGCACAAUAGAUCAUCAGUAAAUCCACGCAGAUUUGAUUCUGAAGUGAUGACUGUUGUGGGGUCUUGCAUUCAUAUUGAAUUCAUAUUAGUGGACUAGUGGCCAGAGUUCUGUGGCUCCCACCAAAUGGAAGACCCUGUCCCCAAGGAUUCAGACUGCACCCAUGCUGGACAUGUAGAAGGACCUUAAGAAUAGAGCUUCUCCCUUUGAGCAUUUAGUGCACAAUUACAUUUUGGAAUUCGCUACCCCAUUCAUGGACUUUGGACAUUGUGGACCAGUUCAUGGAAGUCAGUGGCUACAUGUGUUCCUUGACUUACAAACCGUACAUUUAGCAACCUAUCUUAGUUACAACAGUGCUGAAAGAAGUGACUUAAAAAACAGUCCUCACAUUUAUGAGCCUCCUUGGCAACUGGCUUGCAUUUAUAUGGUUGCACCAUCCAAGGGUCAUUUUCAUAUGGUUUCUGAGAAGCAAAGUAAACAUGAAAAGCUAGAUUUGCUUAACGACCAUGGCAAAAAAAAAAAGAUUGCAAAAACACAAUGAGUACUUAACUGUAUUGCUUAGCAACAGAAGUUCGAGUGCCAAUUGUGGUCAUAAUUCAAGGACUACUUUCAUUAGCCUUGAUGGCUGCAAGAAGGCUAUCUGCUGGAACUCUAGUGUACAACUGCCACUGUGGGAAUAGACUGCUGGACUAGAUUGGCCAGUUGCACGGUUUAUGUUCCUGCUACUCAGAGGUAAGUGUGAAGAAGCAAAGAAUCAUUCUGGACUUUAGCCCAUCUUCAAUUUAGUCCUGAUGUAGAGAUUUUAUUUCUACUCUUCUGGUUCUAUUCUUACUUGGGAACAAACUUUCUUUCGAGAAAAUAUGGACAGAGGGAAAUAAAUAUGAAUACUACAGGAACAUUACACUAAAGACAAGACAAAAAAGAUCCUUUUUCCAUAUUUGGUAGUCCCCUCACUUCCCCAGAAAUAAAUCAUUGCCAAGUUUUAUUUUUAUUUACACAGCCCAUCCUCAUUUAAAAUUAUGCUGUAUUUUUUUUUUAAAAAUGGGAAAUCAAAGGCAGUUCUCAAUUGUGCACUCUGGUUAACAUGGAUACAAAGUAUAAAGUACACAUGUACAAAGUAUACAUGUUUACUGGA
Long non-coding RNA from Ahaetulla prasina, 4117 nucleotides. RefSeq lists it as uncharacterized. Lineage: Eukaryota; Metazoa; Chordata; Lepidosauria; Squamata; Colubridae. The record is from RefSeq and is a predicted model, not a curated record. The transcript has 3 exons.